CCUACGGGUGGCAGCAGUGAGGAAUAUUGGUCAAUGGACGAGAGUCUGAACCAGCCAAGUAGCGUGAAGGAUGACUGCCCUAUGGGUUGUAAACUUCUUUUAUAUGGGAAUAACAUGUUCCACGUGUGGGAUUUUGUAUGUACCAUAUGAAUAAGGAUCGGCUAACUCCGUGCCAGCAGCCGCGGUAAUACGGAGGAUCCGAGCGUUAUCCGGAUUUAUUGGGUUUAAAGGGAGCGUAGGUGGAUUGUUAAGUCAGUUGUGAAAGUUUGCGGCUCAACCGUAAAAUUGCAGUUGAAACUGGCAGUCUUGAGUACAGUAGAGGUGGGCGGAAUUCGUGGUGUAGCGGUGAAAUGCUUAGAUAUCACGAAGAACUCCGAUUGCGAAGGCAGUUCACUGGACUGCAACUGACACUGAGGCUCGAAAGUGUGGGUAUCAAACAGGAUUAGAUACCCUUGUAGUC
This 460-nucleotide ribosomal RNA is filed under the name uncultured bacterium. RNAcentral's name for it is "partial 16S ribosomal RNA". It matches the Rfam family "Bacterial small subunit ribosomal RNA", at positions 338 to 795 of the family's 1533-position model. The record is from RNAcentral.